RNAcentral lists this ribosomal RNA (869 nucleotides) under Bacillus sp. (in: firmicutes). Its description in RNAcentral is "bacterial SSU rRNA". It matches the Rfam family "Bacterial small subunit ribosomal RNA", at positions 12 to 872 of the family's 1533-position model. The record is from RNAcentral. Lineage: Bacteria; Bacillati; Bacillota; Bacilli; Caryophanales; Bacillaceae.
UUUKKWWUUCWGCUCAGGACGGACGCUGGCGGCGUGCCUAAUACAUGCAAGUCGAGCGGACAGAAGGGAGCUUUCUCCCGGAUGUUAGCGGCGSACGGGUGAGYAACACGUGGGUAACCUGCCUGUAAGACUGGGAUAACUCCGGGAAACCGGAGCUAAUACCGGAUAGUUCCUUGAACCGCAUGGCGUCAAGGAUGAAAGACGGUUUCGUGGGCUGUCACUUACAGAUGGACCCGCGGCGAUGGGCUAGUUGGUGAGGUAACGGCUCACCAAGGCGACGAUGCGUACCGACCUGAGAGGGUGAUCGGCCACACUGGGACUGAGACACGGCCCAGACUCCUACGGGAGGCAGCAGUAGGGAAUCUUCCGCAAUGGACGAAAGUGUGACGGAGCAACGCCGCGUGAGUGAUGAAGGUUUUCGGAUCGUAACUCUGUUUAGGGAAGAACAAGUGCAAGAGUAACUGCUUGCACCUUGACGGUACCUAACCAGAAAGCCACGGCUAACUACGUGCCAGCAGCCGCGGUAAUACGUAGGUGGCAAGCGUUGUCCGGAAUUAUUGGGCGUAGGGCUCGCAGGCGGUUUCUUAAGUCUGAUGUGAAAGCCCGGCUCAACCGGGGAGGGUCAUUGGAAACUGGGAAACUUGAGUGCAGAAGAGGAAGUGGAAUUCCACGUGUAGCGGUGAAAUGCGUAGAGAUGUGGAGGAACACCAGUGGCGAAGGCGACUCUCUGGUCUGUAACUGACGCUGAGGAGCGAAAGCGUGGGGAGCGAACAGGAUUAGAUACCCUGGUAGUCCCCGUAAACGAURARUGSUAAGUGUUAGGGGGUUUCCGCCCCUUAGUGCUGCAGCUAACGCAUUAAGCACUCCGC